GAAUGAAGAACGCAGCAAAAUGCGAUAAGUAAUGUGAAUUGCAGAAUUCAGUGAAUCAUCGAAUCUUUGAACGCACAUUGCGCCCGCCAGUAUUCUGGCGGGCAUGCCUGUUCGAGCGUCAUUUCAACCCUCAAGCACAGCUUGGUGUUGGGACUCGCGUUAAUUCGCGUUCCUCAAAUUGAUUGGCGGUCACGUCGAGCUUCCAUAGCGUAGUAGUAAAACCCUCGUUACUGGUAAUCGUCGCGGCCACGCCGUUAAACCCCAACUUCUGAAUGUUGACCUCGGAUCAGGUAGGAAUACCCGCUGAACUUAAGCAUAUCAAUAGCGGAGGA
This 332-nucleotide unclassified non-coding RNA is filed under the name soil metagenome. RNAcentral's name for it is "partial contains 5.8S ribosomal RNA, internal transcribed spacer 2, and large subunit ribosomal RNA". The stretch from base 3 to 121 matches the Rfam family "5.8S ribosomal RNA", at positions 36 to 154 of the family's 154-position model. The record is from RNAcentral.